RNAcentral lists this ribosomal RNA (461 nucleotides) under uncultured bacterium. Its description in RNAcentral is "bacterial SSU rRNA". It matches the Rfam family "Bacterial small subunit ribosomal RNA", at positions 29 to 490 of the family's 1533-position model. The record is from RNAcentral.
AUGAACGCUAGCGGCAGGCUUAAUACAUGCAAGUCGAGGGGCAGUCCCGCCUUCGGGCGGGAGCGACCGGCAAACGGGUGCGGAACACGUACAGAACCUUCCUUCGAGCGGGGAAUAGCCCAGAGAAAUUUGGAUUAAUACCCCAUAGCAUUAUGGAGUGGCAUCACUUUAUAAUUAAAGAUUUAUCACUUGAAGAUGGCUGUGCGGCUGAUUAGAUAGUUGGUGAGGAACGGCUCACCAAGUCUACGAUCAGUAACUGGUGUGAGAGCACGACCAGUCACACGGGCACUGAGACACGGGCCCGACUCCUACGGGAGGCAGCAGUAAGGAAUAUUGGUCAAUGGACGCAAGUCUGAACCAGCCAUGCCGCGUGGAGGAUGAAGGUCCUCUGGAUUGUAAACUUCUUUUAUAUGGGACGAAAAAGGCUUUUCUAAGUCGUCUGACGGUACCAUAUGAAUAAG